Molecule: ribosomal RNA, 465 nt
Filed under: uncultured bacterium
Lineage: Bacteria
Description: partial 16S ribosomal RNA
Rfam family: Bacterial small subunit ribosomal RNA
Source: RNAcentral
GACGAACGCUGGCGGCGUGCUUAACACAUGCCGGUCGAACGGAAAGGCCCCUUUGGGGGUACUCGAGUGGCGAACGGGUGAGUAACACGUGAGUAACCUGCCCUUGACUUCGGGAUAACUUCAGGAAACUGGGGCUAAUACCGGAUAGGAAUCCUUGCUGCAUGGUGGGGGUUGGAAAGCUUCGGCGGUUUUGGAUGGACUCGCGGCUUAUCAGCUUGUUGGUGGGGUAGUGGCUUACCAAGGCUUUGACGGGUAGCCGGCCUGAGAGGGCGACCGGCCACAUUGGGACUGAGAUACGGCCCAGACUCCUACGGGAGGCAGCAGUGGGGAAUAUUGCACAAUGGGCGGAAGCCUGAUGCAGCAACGCCGCGUGCGGGAUGACGGCCUUCGGGUUGUAAACCGCUUUCAGCAGGGGCGAAGCUUGUGGUGACGGUACCUGCAGAAGAAGCACCGGCUAACUACGUG